CGCUAGCCUCAACAGCCGUUGGAAGGCUGGUUUCCAUGAGGGGCGUGAAAUUACCUAUUUACAAAAAGUUAACUAUAUACAUGAAAUACAAAAUAUAACAAAAUAAAUAAAUACAAUUGAUUUUAGCUGCACGAUUAUGCACAGGCAAAUUUCAACUCAUUCUUUGUUUCAAUAUCGACUUGAAAGAGUUUAGGGAUUCAGCAAUUUUUGCCUCAUGGGGAAGAUUAUUCCAAUGCAAGGCACCAUUAUAACUGAAGCACCUCUUGCCGAAUUCUUUUUUCGGCAUAGGUGGUGCUAAAUCAGUAUCCGAAUUUCUAAGAUUGUAACUAUUAUGUCUUUCAUUGUUAAAAUAAAAUGCUUCUUUAAGAUUGGGUGCGGUGUGGCCAUUCAGAACUUUAUAGAUGAAAAUAGAUUUAAGAUAAUUUCGUCUUUCUUCUAGAGGUUUCCAAUUUAGAUUAUUGAGUAACUCAGAUGACCGAAUAUCGUAGGUUGCCCCAGUAAUUACUCUUGCAGCACGAUUUUGGUAUUUUUGCAACUUAUCUUUGAGCCCAAUUCCACAAUUAUCCCACAAAGAGCUGCAAUAAUCGAAAUAAGGCUGUAUAAUAGCAUUAUAUAGCAUUUUGGUUGUCGACAGUGGUACAAAAGGUUUAACACGUCUCAUUGCACCAAUACCGGCACCAACUUUAGAACAGAUUGAAUCAAUAUGUUUAUCCCAAGACAACCUUUCGUCCAUAGUCACGCCAAGGCAUGAAUAUUUAUUAAUCCUGGGUACUAGCUUAUUAUUAAUUAAAAUGGGAUUACCAGAUACUUUAUUCUUAAGGUUAUAGGGAAACCCAAUGAACAUAUGUUUCGAU
RNAcentral lists this long non-coding RNA (854 nucleotides) under Paramuricea clavata. Lineage: Eukaryota; Metazoa; Cnidaria; Anthozoa; Malacalcyonacea; Plexauridae. The record is from RNAcentral.